GAGGGUGUGGCUCAGUGGUAGAGCCUGUGCUUAGCAUGCAUGAGGUCUGGGGUUCAAUCCCCAGCACCUCCA
This 72-nucleotide transfer RNA is filed under the name Camelus bactrianus (Bactrian camel). It matches the Rfam family "tRNA". From Rfam's summary of the family: Transfer RNA (tRNA) molecules are approximately 80 nucleotides in length. Their secondary structure includes four short double-helical elements and three loops (D, anti-codon, and T loops). Further hydrogen bonds mediate the characteristic L-shaped molecular structure. tRNAs have two regions of fundamental functional importance: the anti-codon, which is responsible for specific mRNA codon recognition, and the 3' end, to which the tRNAs corresponding amino acid is attached (by aminoacyl-tRNA synthetases). tRNAs cope with the degeneracy of the genetic code in two manners: having more than one tRNA (with a specific anti-codon) for a particular amino acid; and 'wobble' base-pairing, i.e. permitting non-standard base-pairing at the 3rd anti-codon position. Lineage: Eukaryota; Metazoa; Chordata; Mammalia; Artiodactyla; Camelidae. RNAcentral also lists the same sequence under 1 other name. The record is from Rfam by way of RNAcentral.